AUAACGGCGAUGGUGGGGAGUAGUACCUUGAUCCAUUCUGAAACCAGAGAGUCAGUGAUUGGGUGAAAGCUGACCGGAAUCUUAAGGGAACUCGCCUCACCGCUUUGCAGAGGAACAAGCGUGUCGCCUUCAGUACUCUGUAACGAUUCAUCCUCGAUAUCGGAUUCUCCAAGAGCGAGCAUUUUUUCAAAUGCUAAUCAGGGUGGUACCGCGGGAAUUAGAUCAUGUGAUCCAACCUCUCGUCCCUAGU
Molecule: non-coding RNA, 250 nt
Filed under: Marininema halotolerans
Lineage: Bacteria; Bacillati; Bacillota; Bacilli; Caryophanales; Thermoactinomycetaceae
Description: T-box sequence
Rfam family: T-box leader
About the family: Uncharged tRNA acts as the effector for transcription antitermination of genes in the T-box leader family.
Source: RNAcentral